GACGAACGCUGGCGGCGUGCUUAACAUAUGCAAGUCGAACGGAAAGGCCCCGCUUUUGUGGGGUGCUCGAGUGGCGAACGGGUGAGUAACACGUGAGUAACCUGCCCUUGACUUUGGGAUAACUUCAGGAAACUGGGGCUAAUACCGGAUAGGAGCUCCUGCUGCAUGGUGGGGGUUGGAAAGUUUCGGCGGUUGGGGAUGGACUCGCGGCUUAUCAGCUUGUUGGUGGGGUAGUGGCUUACCAAGGCUUUGACGGGUAGCCGGCCUGAGAGGGUGACCGGCCACAUUGGGGCUGAGAUACGGCCCAGACUCCUACGGGAGGCAGCAGUGGGGAAUAUUGCACAAUGGGCGGAAGCCUGAUGCAGCAACGCCGCGUGCGGGAUGACGGCCUUCGGGUUGUAAACCGCUUUCGCCUGUGACGAAGCGUGAGUGACGGUAAUGGGUAAAGAAGCACCGGCUAACUACGUG
Molecule: ribosomal RNA, 468 nt
Filed under: uncultured bacterium
Lineage: Bacteria
Description: partial 16S ribosomal RNA
Rfam family: Bacterial small subunit ribosomal RNA
Source: RNAcentral